Molecule: ribosomal RNA, 371 nt
Filed under: uncultured organism
Description: partial 16S ribosomal RNA
Rfam family: Bacterial small subunit ribosomal RNA
Source: RNAcentral
GUAGGGUCCAAGCGUUAAUCGGAAUUACUGGGCGGAAAGCGUGCGCAGGCGGUUGUGCAAGACCGAUGUGAAAUCCCCGGGGCUUAACCUGGGAAUUGCAUUGGUGACUGCACGGCUAGAGUGUGUCAGAGGGGGGUAGAAUUCCACGUGUAGCAGUGAAAUGCGUAGAGAUGUGGAGGAAUACCGAUGGCGAAGGCAGCCCCCUGGGAUAACACUGACGCUCAUGCACGAAAGCGUGGGGAGCAAACAGGAUUAGAUACCCUGGUAGUCCACGCCCUAAACGAUGUCAACUAGUUGUUGGGGAUUCAUUUCCUUAGUAACGUAGCUAACGCGUGAAGUUGACCGCCUGGGGAGUACGGUCGCAAAGAUUA